RNAcentral lists this long non-coding RNA (718 nucleotides) under Parus major (Great Tit). Its description in RNAcentral is "lncRNA (ENSPMJG00000011953.1)". The record is from RNAcentral. Lineage: Eukaryota; Metazoa; Chordata; Aves; Passeriformes; Paridae.
CCUCCCCGGGAGUCUGUUUUCCCGCAGAGCACGCGGCACAGUCGCGAUAUUUGGGGUUUUUCUUUCUUUUUCUCCACUUUACCCUCCUGAGCGCGGCUCGGUGUCGAUCCCUCCCUCCCCGCAGCACCGACCACGGUUUGCAGAGCCGAAGCUGGGAGCACAAAGAGCCCCAUCCCGAAUCUCCAGGGGUUUCCUGCUGCAUCCCAUCCCAAGGGAACGCUUUGGACUGAAAUUGCCUUUAUUUGUGGGGCUUUUCCCCUUCUACACUCCUAGGAAACAACACAGGGCACAAAUACAGAUAAAAAUAGAAAUACAGGUUGUGAAUUGGAGCUGCCCACGACAAAGGGGAUGGAUUAACUCCCCUUUCCUUCAUCCCUGCAGGGUUUUCCCUGCAAUUUAGCAAAAACGCCACUUCUGAGCUGCUUUCAAAGCACAUCUAUGGGAGUGAAACCGGGAAAAUAUCCUUUUAACUUCUCCCUGGAGGAGAAAAGUUCCCGCGGGGGGAAAGCCCAGGCGGCAAAGCAGAGACGGGGAAAGUCAACACGGAUUGUGCCCGGGAGCCCCGGGGCUGUUUGAUCCCGGAGCCGCCCGGAACGGAGCCAGGAGCCCCUCGGGGCCCCGCACGUGCCAGUCCCCAGCUCUGUUUGAUGUUCUGCUCCAAGGUGAACCGGCUGAACCAGCCAGAGCGGGAUGGGAGCGGCCGGGACACCGCUGGGAU